Long non-coding RNA from Manduca sexta (tobacco hornworm), 1377 nucleotides. RefSeq lists it as uncharacterized. The transcript is spliced from 6 exons. NCBI's taxonomy places the organism in Eukaryota, Metazoa, Arthropoda, Insecta, Lepidoptera, Sphingidae. The record is from RefSeq and is a predicted model, not a curated record.
AAUUAUCCAUUGAUGGCACAGUAAAAUCAUGCAGAAUAGUCUACGGAGGUCUGUCUCCCCACUUCAACAGGGCUUCUGCAACAGAAACCCAUCUGAUCGGGAAAAAGUUAUUUACCAAUGAGACGUUGCAGUCAGCUCUGAAUAUCUUAGCAAGUGAGAUUAUAGUAGUCAAAAAUCCACCAGAGCCAUCUGUGGAGUACAGAAAGCAACUUGCUUUGGGAUUGUUUUAUAAAGGUAUAAUGUCUAUAUGUCCCGCACAUAUAUUAGGAUCCCGUUACCGGUCUGGACCUAUCAAAAUCCGAGAAACAAGGCCACUUUCGGAAGCUCGUCAAAUAUUUGAUACAAACCCAAAGUUAUGGCCUCUGAAUCAACCUAUUCCGAAGAUUGAUGCAUUGAUUCAAUGUUCUGGUGAAGCUAAAUUUGUGGAAGAUAUGCCGACCUUACCCGACGAAGUGUUUGCUGCUUUCGUUCUAUCAACUGUACCUUUAGGAGAUAUUGUAUCAAUAGAUGCGAGUGCUGCUCUGAAAAUGCCAGGAGUAAUAGCAUUCUACUCAGCGAAUGACAUACCAGGUGAAAACUCGUUUACUCCAGCUGGUACCACAUUCUAUGUAGCCAAUGAAGAAAUAUUUUGUAGCGGACAAAUCAAGUACUACAAUCAACCGAUCGGCAUGAUCGUAGCUGAAACCGACCUAUUGCAGAACGAGCUGCGAAAGUAGUCAUAGCAACAUAUAAAAAUGUUAGGAAACCCCUACUUAGCAUAAAAGAUGCUAAAAAAGACCCAAACAGGAACACUUUGUUCACAUCAACGACUGCUGAAUCUAGAGGUACGGAUGUUGUAAAGACGUUCCAAGGCAGUAACACGAUUUUUGGGCAGUAUCAUUAUACGAUGGAGACACUGUGCUGCGUCUCGAAGACGUCUGAAGAGGGAUUAGAGGUUCAUUCUGCAUGUCAGUGGAUAGAUGGCACCCAAGUCAUGACGUCCAAGGCUUUGAAUAUUGAUUGUCACAAGAUAGAUGUCCACUUACGCCGUGUUGGAGGUGCAUUUGGGAUAAAGAUCUCCCGCAGCAUCAAGUGGCUGUAGCUUGUAGUCUCGUUGUGCAGAAACUGAACAGGCCAUGUCGAUUCAUACAAUCAUUGACCACCAAUACAAAAGCUCUUGGCAAGAGGCUCUCUUGUUCUACUGAUUAUGAGAUUGGUGUGAAUAAUUCUGGAGUGAUCCAGUACAUUAACUACAAACUUUAUGAAGACAAUGGGUACAAAGUUAACGAAACUCUCACCAUGCUCGGUACUGAUGUGUUCUACAACUGCUACAAUAACUCUAGAUGGAACUAUACGUGCUACGACUCUAUUACUGAUAAGGCAAAAAAUACAUGGUGC